This 238-nucleotide unclassified non-coding RNA is filed under the name uncultured Ascomycota. Its description in RNAcentral is "sequence contains 5.8S rRNA gene". The stretch from base 1 to 52 matches the Rfam family "5.8S ribosomal RNA", at positions 103 to 154 of the family's 154-position model. The record is from RNAcentral. Lineage: Eukaryota; Fungi; Ascomycota.
AACGCACAUUGCGCCCUCUGGUAUUCCGGGGGGCAUGCCUGUUCGAGCGUCAUUACAACCCUCAAGCUCUGCUUGGUAUUGGGCGUCACCACCUGGUGCGCCCCAAAAUCAGUGGCGGUGCCGUCUGGCUUCAAGCGUAGUAAUUCUUCUCGCUUUGGAGUCCGGGCGAGUGCUCGCCAGAACCCCCAAUUUAUCAAGGUUGACCUCGGAUCAGGUAGGGAUACCCGCUGAACUUAAG